UUUAGAGAAAGAAGAAGGAAGAAGGAAGAGAAGAAAAUAGGAUUUGGCUCCCAUUAGAGAAGAAAGGAGAAGCUUCACAAACCCUGCCAUUAGGGUUUACAGAUAGAAGAGGAAGAAGCUUUACAAACCUUGCCAUUAGGGUUUAUAGAGAGAGAAGGAAUAAAAAGGAAGAAGCUUCGCAAACCCUGCUUUUAAGGUUUACAGAGAGAAGAACGAAGAAGCUUCCCAAACCCUGCAAUUAGGGUUUAUAGAGAGAAGAAGGAAGCAGCUUCACAAACCCUAAUGGAAGACGCCUUAACUAAUUUUUAGAGAGUCAAAAGGAAA
Molecule: long non-coding RNA, 324 nt
Filed under: Amborella trichopoda
Lineage: Eukaryota; Viridiplantae; Streptophyta; Magnoliopsida; Amborellales; Amborellaceae
Description: long non-coding RNA (ATRI_LNC002824)
Source: RNAcentral